UACGUAGGUGGCAAGCGUUGUCCGGAAUUAUUGGGCGUAAAGCGCGCGCAGGCGGUCCUUUAAGUCUGAUGUGAAAGCCCACGGCUCAACCGUGGAGGGUCAUUGGAAACUGGGGGACUUGAGUGCAGAAGAGAAGAGUGGAAUUCCACGUGUAGCGGUGAAAUGCGUAGAGAUGUGGAGGAACACCAGUGGCGAAGGCGGCUUCCUGGCCUGUUCUUGACGCUGAGGCGCGAAAGCUAGGGUAGCAAACGGG
This 253-nucleotide ribosomal RNA is filed under the name uncultured bacterium. RNAcentral describes it as "partial 16S ribosomal RNA". It matches the Rfam family "Bacterial small subunit ribosomal RNA", at positions 524 to 776 of the family's 1533-position model. The record is from RNAcentral.